AACGAACGCUGGCGGCAGGCCUAACACAUGCAAGUCGAACGGUUGUAGCAAUACAGCAGUGGCGCACGGGUGAGUAACACGUGGGAACGUGCCUUUCAGUCUGGAAUAACAGCGGGAAACUGCUGCUAAUACCGGAUAUUCUCUACGGAGGAAAGAUUUAUCGCUGAAAGAUCGGCCCGCGUUAGAUUAGGUAGUUGGUAGGGUAAUGGCCUACCAAGCCUACGAUCUAUAGCUGGUCUGAGAGGAUGAUCAGCCACACUGGAACUGAGACACGGUCCAGACUCCUACGGGAGGCAGCAGUGGGGAAUAUUGGACAAUGGGGGAAACCCUGAUCCAGCCAUGCCGCGUGAGUGACGAAGGCCUUAGGGUUGUAAAGCUCUUUUAUCAGGGACGAUGAUGACGGUACCUGAAGAAUAAGACACGGCUAACUUCGUGCCAGCCGCCGCGGUAA
Molecule: ribosomal RNA, 451 nt
Filed under: uncultured bacterium
Lineage: Bacteria
Description: partial 16S ribosomal RNA
Rfam family: Bacterial small subunit ribosomal RNA
Source: RNAcentral